UUACACAGUGAAUCUUCCCAGUCUCGAGAGGAGAAGCAUUUCUAAGUUUAUUUUUUAAAUUUUAUUUUAUUUUUCAGGCAAAGACGUUACUUUUGGAAUAUUUUAUUAACUUCGAAACAACUACAGUUUGCUGCUCAUCUUGAUGUGGAGAAUGAAAUCGGCAUGGCCAGUGACAUCAUGCAGAGACCGAUUAUUUACAGAUAACAGAGAAAUUCCUUAAAAUUUCAUUUAUGAAUGACUUAAGAAUAUGUGUAUAUUUUCUCUUAACAUGAACCCUAUUGUCUUCUAUUCACAAGGGGAACAAGUUUUAUUGCGUUAUUCCACCAUGCAUUCAGUGGAAAUGUUUCAUAGGUUGCCUUGAGUUUGGGCAUUUGUGUUUCAAUUCUUAAUGGUUGAAUAGGGCAUAUAGUUAAUGGAAAUAAACAUGGUUAGGAAUGUCGGUAAACCUCAAAGAAUCUCCUAUUCAAACUUUAACUGAUGCUGAAGUGUAUUUUCGAGUGCACAAAUCUUUUGUCUUACGUUGAUCAAUAUUAAAAUAUUGCAGUUGAGCGAUUGAAGUAAUGGUUUUUAUUGGAUAAUCGCUUCAUUAUACAAAAUCCUAUUGCACAAAUUUCCAUAAACGUGAACAGAAACAUAGAACAAUGCCUUUUGUAGAGCUUCCUAACCAUGUUUAUUUUCUAUUAACUAUGAAUAGGGCCAUAAAUUCUCAAAAAAAUUAGUGCAAAUUUAGAGAAAUUCUAUUGAUUAGAUUUAUACGAUAUAUAGUUUAUGUGAUGUAGUUUAUGUGAUGUAAUUUAUAUCGCGUAAAACACUUCCACUCGUUUUAAAUACUACAUAAGGCCAUAGUUAAUAUAUUAACUAUGAUAAGGCACUCAGCUCGUUUUUUAUUUCUUAAGUAUUGUACAGUGGGAUGUUGAGAGAACAAUAGAGAAUGGCGUAAGUUUUCUAUUCCUGAGAGAACAAUAGAGAAUGGCGUAAGUUUUCUAUUUCUUAAGUAUUGUACGACAGGAAAGUUGAGAGAGCAAUAGAGAAUGGCGUAAAACACUUAGCCACCGUUAUUGUUUUUACAAACUUCUUUCGUGUUCUCACAUAACUCAAAAAACGUGUAUUAUAUAAUGCUUUAGAGCUCAAUAAAAUCAUCC
Non-coding RNA from Paramuricea clavata, 1142 nucleotides. The record is from the annotation of a GenBank genome assembly. Lineage: Eukaryota; Metazoa; Cnidaria; Anthozoa; Malacalcyonacea; Plexauridae.